AUUAGCUUGGUCUCAGUGGUUCUGGUGUCUACUGCUCCUUCUUGGUUUUUGUACCCGCUGAAGAAAUUAAUGCUGCUGUAUCUGUUAACUUGUCCCUUCCCUCCUGAUUGCAAUUUACAAAGAGCAGCCCGACCUCAGUUUUCCUCUGCCGACAGCCAAGGAUUUCGGGGAUUUUCACAGGCAGCCCUCACAUCCACAAGCCUCUGUUCUAGGUAACCUCUCCAGGCAUCAGAAGAACACCUUGAUGCUUGUCCAGCCUGCUCAGCUCCACUGACCUGGCUCUUGGGUUCCUCAAGGAGUCUCCUCUGGCUGGUCUUUGUCCCCGAAGCCCACACUGCUGGGAGCAUCCAGGAGAUAAGAAAGUGGUGAAUUAUGUUUUGCAUCAUCUAUGGUUGGAAUUUCAGUGCUGCAGGAAAGAAAUACUCUUUGCAAGUAACUUGCAGUAAAAAUGCCAGUUUAGGGAUGGGUCCCUGGACAGCAGUUUCCACCUGGCUCUGCAGGGAGGACUCGGGAUGCAGGAGGGAAGUGCCCCUGGCCUGGUGAGUCGUUUGGAGGAGAAAAAUAUACACGGCAUCUGUACUGGACGUGAGCUGUGUCUAGCCUGAUCUUGAAGCUAUUGAGUUUAUUAAGGAUUAUUAUUUCAGGCAUCCUUUCCCCUGCUACUGAACGUCCAUUAAGAUGGAAAACAAACCCUUCUCUCUUUGAGCACGUGGACAGUUUUGGUCUGGACCAACUUGUGUCGGAGUGACAUAACCCCCAAAAAAUCAGUAGGAACCGUUUGACUGAAGCUCUGCUGCCAGAAAUAUUGAAGGUUAAAAUAAUCCUUGGCAAGGCCUCCAUCCCCUGUGGAUCCCAGGUGUUGGACACGCUGAUUCCAGCUCUGCCUCGGCUGCUUUGGCCUCUUGUGUGUCUGUGAAGCAAUUGAUGGCAGAGAAGGGAAAGGAUGAAGAGCUGUGGCUGAGAGGACUAAUGGUUUAAGUUUUAGUUUCCAUGUAUUUCAGGUCCUGUGCUGCCCAGGGUGCAGCUCUGAGCUCACACUCAGGGUCACUCAGCUCUCUGCACACAGCAGCGACACAAAACAAAUCCUUUUCCUGCUG
Molecule: long non-coding RNA, 1097 nt
Organism: Hirundo rustica (Barn swallow)
Lineage: Eukaryota; Metazoa; Chordata; Aves; Passeriformes; Hirundinidae
Exons: 5
Source: RefSeq, a predicted model, not a curated record